AACCGGAUUAGAUACCCGGGUAGUCCACGCCNNNNACGAUGAAUACUAAGUGUUGGAGGGUUUCCGCCCUUCANNGCUGCAGCUAACGCAUUAAGUAUUCCGCCUGGGGAGUACGACCGCAAGGUUGAAACUCAAAGGAAUUGACGGGGGCCCGCACAAGCGGUGGAGCAUGUGGUUUAAUUCGAAGCAACGCGAAGAACCUUACCAGGUCUUGACAUCUUCUGCCAGGCUGAGAGAUCAGCUGUUCCCUUCGGGGACAGAAUGACAGGUGGUGCAUGGUUGUCGUCAGCUCGUGUCGUGAGAUGUUGGGUUAAGUCCCGCAACGAGCGCAACCCUUAUGUUCAGUUGCCAGCAUUCAGUUGGGCACUCUGGACAGACUGCCGGUGACAAACCGGAGGAAGGCGGGGAUGACGUCAAAUCAUCAUGCCCCUUAUGACCUGGGCUACACACGUGCUACAAUGGGUGGUACAACGAGCAGCGAGACCGCGAGGUCAAGCGAAUCUCUAAAAACCAUCCUCAGUUCGGAUUGCAGGCUGCAACUCGCCUGCAUGAAGCUGGAAUCGCUAGUAAUCGCGGAUCAGCACGCCGCGGUGAAUACGUUCCCGGGCCUUGUACACACCGCCCGUCACACCAUGAGAGUUUGUAACACCCAAAGCCGGUGGGACAACCGUAAGGAGUCAGCCGUCUAAGGUGGGACAAAUGAUUAGGGUGAAGUCGUAACAAGGUAACCAA
RNAcentral lists this ribosomal RNA (732 nucleotides) under uncultured Lactobacillaceae bacterium. RNAcentral describes it as "bacterial SSU rRNA". It matches the Rfam family "Bacterial small subunit ribosomal RNA", at positions 771 to 1503 of the family's 1533-position model. Lineage: Bacteria; Bacillati; Bacillota; Bacilli; Lactobacillales; Lactobacillaceae. The record is from RNAcentral.